CGCCUGUUUAACAAAAACAUGUCUUUCUGAUAAUAAUAAAAAGUCGAGCCUGCCCAAUGAAUAUUAAAUGGCUGCAGUAUUUUGACUGUACAAAGGUAGCAUAAUCAUUAGUUUUUUAAUUGAAAACUAGAAUGAAUGGUUUAACGAAAAACUUUCUGUUUCUUAAUAAAAAUAUGAAUUUUAUUUUUUAGUUAAAAAGCUAAAAUAUUUUUAAAAGACGAGAAGACCCUAUAGAGUUUUAUAUAUAUAGAUUAUAAAUUUUUAAUUUUAUAAUUUAAUUAUAUUUUAUUGGGGUGAUAGGAAAAUUUAUUAAACUUUUCUUAAUUUAUACAUUUAUUUAUGAAUAUAUGAUCCAUUAAUUAUGAUUAUAAGAAUAAAUUACCUUAGGGAUAACAGCGUAAUUUAUUUUUAGAGUUCCUAUCGAAAAAUAAGUUUGCGACCUCGAUGUUGGAUUAA
This 456-nucleotide ribosomal RNA is filed under the name Lasioderma serricorne (cigarette beetle). RNAcentral's name for it is "partial 16S ribosomal RNA". It matches the Rfam family "Bacterial large subunit ribosomal RNA", at positions 1797 to 2540 of the family's 2925-position model. The record is from RNAcentral. Lineage: Eukaryota; Metazoa; Arthropoda; Insecta; Coleoptera; Ptinidae.